Molecule: long non-coding RNA, 241 nt
Filed under: Malus domestica (apple)
Lineage: Eukaryota; Viridiplantae; Streptophyta; Magnoliopsida; Rosales; Rosaceae
Description: long non-coding RNA (MDOM_LNC012778)
Source: RNAcentral
UGGAUUCAGAAAUUUUAAAACUAAUCAUGUCACCACCAAAUGCCAUAAUGACUAAUCCUUUGGCCACAUCAAUCUUCGUUUGAGCCGUUUUCAUGAAUGGCCUUCCAAGGAGGAUGGGUAAUGAAGGGGCAUGGUCCGAUUCAUCCAUUUCGAGGACAUAGAAAUCCGCCGGGAAGAUUAAAUGAUCAACCUGCACUAAAACGUCUUCCAAAACUCCCUUUGGAUAAGCGUUAGAUCUAUC